CCUACGGGUGGCAGCAGUGAGGAAUAUUGGUCAAUGGGCGUAAGCCUGAACCAGCCAAGUCGCGUGAGGGAUGAAGGUUCUAUGGAUCGUAAACCUCUUUUAUAAGGGAAUAAAGUGUGGGACGUGUCCUAUUUUGUAUGUACCUUAUGAAUAAGGAUCGGCUAACUCCGUGCCAGCAGCCGCGGUAAUACGGAGGAUCCGAGCGUUAUCCGGAUUUAUUGGGUUUAAAGGGUGCGUAGGCGGCCUUUUAAGUCGGCGGUGAAAGUCUGUGGUUCAACCAUAGAAUUGCCGUUGAAACUGGGAGGCUUGAGUAUGUUUGAGGCAGGCGGAAUGCGUGGUGUAGCGGUGAAAUGCUUAGAUAUCGCGCAGAACCCCGAUUGCGAAGGCAGCAUGCCAAGCCAUGACUGACGCUGAUGCACGAAAGCGUGGGGAUCAAACAGGAUUAGAUACCCCGGUAGUC
Molecule: ribosomal RNA, 460 nt
Filed under: uncultured bacterium
Lineage: Bacteria
Description: partial 16S ribosomal RNA
Rfam family: Bacterial small subunit ribosomal RNA
Source: RNAcentral